This 92-nucleotide transfer RNA is filed under the name Coemansia aciculifera. RNAcentral describes it as "tRNA-Ile". It matches the Rfam family "tRNA". From Rfam's summary of the family: Transfer RNA (tRNA) molecules are approximately 80 nucleotides in length. Their secondary structure includes four short double-helical elements and three loops (D, anti-codon, and T loops). The record is from RNAcentral. Lineage: Eukaryota; Fungi; Kickxellomycota; Kickxellomycetes; Kickxellales; Kickxellaceae.
GCUCCAUUAGCUCAGCAGGUAGAGCUUCGUGCUUAUGUUAUCCACAUACAAUAGCCACGCGGAUGUCGCCAGUUCGAUCCUGGCAUGGAGCA